This 425-nucleotide ribosomal RNA is filed under the name uncultured bacterium. RNAcentral's name for it is "partial 16S ribosomal RNA". It matches the Rfam family "Bacterial small subunit ribosomal RNA", at positions 354 to 796 of the family's 1533-position model. The record is from RNAcentral.
GUGGGGAAUCUUGCGCAAUGGGCGAAAGCCUGACGCAGCCAUGCCGCGUGAAUGAUGAAGGUCUUAGGAUUGUAAAAUUCUUUCACCGGGGACGAUAAUGACGGUACCCGGAGAAGAAGCCCCGGCUAACUUCGUGCCAGCAGCCGCGGUAAUACGAAGGGGGCUAGCGUUGCUCGGAAUUACUGGGCGUAAAGGGCGCGUAGGCGGACAGUUUAGUCAGAGGUGAAAGCCCAGGGCUCAACCUUGGAAUUGCCUUUGAUACUGGCUGUCUUGAGUUUGGGAGAGGUGAGUGGAACUCCGAGUGUAGAGGUGAAAUUCGUAGAUAUUCGGAAGAACACCUGUGGCGAAGGCGACUCACUGGCCCAAUACUGACGCUGAGGCGCGAAAGCGUGGGGAGCAAACAGGAUUAGAUACCCGUGUAGUCC